CCUACGGGAGGCAGCAGUGAGGAAUAUUGGUCAAUGGACGCAAGUCUGAACCAGCCAAGCCGCGUGCAGGAAGACGGCUCUAUGAGUUGUAAACUGCUUUUGUACGAGGGUAAACGCAGAUACGCGUAUCUGUCUGAAAGUACCGUACGAAUAAGGAUCGGCUAACUCCGUGCCAGCAGCCGCGGUAAUACGGAGGAUUCAAGCGUUAUCCGGAUUUAUUGGGUUUAAAGGGUGCGUAGGCGGUCGGGUAAGUUAGAGGUGAAAUGCCGAGGCUCAACUUCGGAAUUGCCGUUGAUACUGUUCGGCGAGAGAGUAGUUGCGGUAGGCGGAAUGUAUGGUGUAGCGGUGAAAUGCUUAGAGAUCAUACAGAACACCGAUUGCGAAGGCAGCUUACCAAGCUACUUCUGACGUUGAGGCACGAAAGCGUGGGGAGCAAACAGGAUUAGAUACCCGAGUAGUC
RNAcentral lists this ribosomal RNA (460 nucleotides) under uncultured bacterium. Its description in RNAcentral is "partial 16S ribosomal RNA". It matches the Rfam family "Bacterial small subunit ribosomal RNA", at positions 338 to 795 of the family's 1533-position model. The record is from RNAcentral.